GCUGGGCUAUAGCUGGGAUUACGGACCAGAUGCAGAUAAUCUGUUUUUGUGAGGUGGGACUCAGCACAGCACAUUUCCCCCCGGAGCCCUAGACACGUCCGUGGGAAACACCUGCCUGCCACCAAUGCACGAAGCCGCAAGCCCGCCCUUUGCCUGCGGAGUGCAGGUGCGCCCCCGGCAAGCGGCAGCGGGGUCUCGCAGCCCGCCGGGCGGGUACGAGCUUAUUAGAGACACUGAAUCAUGUUGGGAAUGACUGUGAUCAACAUCCUGCUCCCUGCUGUGAUGCAAAUGCAUGGAAAUAUCUGAAAACUAGAACUUCUUCAGGAACUCCUGGAUAAAGUAGGAAGUAGCUGUAAGAAUAAUGCACUGAAUAAAGCAGUGGGUAAGGAUUUCUUCCUAGUCUGUCAGCACUUAACAGCUAGCAGAUGAAGAAAGGCAAAAGUUUACUGAUCCAUGAGAGGACCUUCUUUCUUAUCGCAUGUCUGCCCACUUUGGUUUUUGCCUUUGGUGUCGGACCUUGUCAAAGGCUUUCUGAAAGACCAGAUGCACUAUAUCAGCUGGAUCACCCCUCUCCACAUAUUUGUUGACCCCCUAAAAGAAUUCUAAUAAAUAGAUGAUAGAUUGAUGAAGCAUGAUUACAAAAGCCAUUUUGUGACUGUUCCCUAACACAGUGUUUCCCAAACUUGGGAUACCACUUGUGUAGGGAAAG
This is a long non-coding RNA of Chelonoidis abingdonii (Abingdon island giant tortoise), 709 nucleotides long. RefSeq lists it as uncharacterized. The record is from RefSeq and is a predicted model, not a curated record. NCBI's taxonomy places the organism in Eukaryota, Metazoa, Chordata, Testudines, Testudinidae.